AUUGAACGCUGGCGGCAGGCUUAACACAUGCAAGUCGAGCGAGCGGCGGACGGGUGAGUAAUGUAUGGGGAACUGCCUGAUUGAGGGGGAUAACUACUGGAAACGGUAGCUAAUACCGCAUACUAUCGGAUGUACCCAUAUGGGAUUAGCUAGUAGGUGGGGUAAUGGCUCACCUAGGCGACGAUCUCUAGCUGGUCUGAGAGGAUGACCAGCCACACUGGGACUGAGACACGGCCCAGACGCAUACGGGAGGCAGCAGUGGGGAAUAUUGCACAAUGGGCGCAAGCCUGAUGCAGCCAUGCCGCGUGUAUGAAGAAGGCCUUAGGGUUGUAAAGUACUUUCAGCGGGGAGGCGUUACCCGCAGAAGAAGCACCGGCUAACUCCGUGCCAGCAGCCGCGGUAAUUC
Molecule: ribosomal RNA, 406 nt
Filed under: uncultured bacterium
Lineage: Bacteria
Description: partial 16S ribosomal RNA
Rfam family: Bacterial small subunit ribosomal RNA
Source: RNAcentral